Molecule: ribosomal RNA, 465 nt
Filed under: uncultured bacterium
Lineage: Bacteria
Description: partial 16S ribosomal RNA
Rfam family: Bacterial small subunit ribosomal RNA
Source: RNAcentral
GACGAACGCUGGCGGCGUGCUUAACACAUGCAAGUCGUACGGUAAGGCCCUUUCGGGGGUACACGAGUGGCGAACGGGUGAGUAACACGUGAGUAACCUGCCCACAACUUUGGGAUAACGCUAGGAAACUGGUGCUAAUACUGGAUAUGUGCUCCUGCUGCAUGGUGGGGGUUGGAAAGCUCCGGCGGUUGUGGAUGGACUCGCGGCCUAUCAGCUUGUUGGUGGGGUAGUGUCCUACCAAGGCGGCGACGGGUAGCCGGCCUGAGAGGGUGACCGGCCACAUUGGGACUGAGAUACGGCCCAGACACCUACGGGAGGCAGCAGUGGGGAAUAUUGCACAAUGGGCGCAAGCCUGAUGCAGCAACGCCGCGUGCGGGAUGACGGCCUUCGGGUUGUAAACCGCUUUCAGCAGGGACGAAGCUUUUUGUGACGGUACCUGCAGAAGAAGCACCGGCUAACUACGUG